This 467-nucleotide ribosomal RNA is filed under the name uncultured bacterium. Its description in RNAcentral is "partial 16S ribosomal RNA". It matches the Rfam family "Bacterial small subunit ribosomal RNA", at positions 28 to 507 of the family's 1533-position model. The record is from RNAcentral.
GACGAACGCUGGCGGCGUGCUUAACACAUGCAAGUCGAACGGAAAGGCCCUGCUUUUGUGGGGUGCUCGAGUGGCGAACGCGUGAGUAACACGUGAGUAACCUGCCCUUGUCUUUGGGAUAACUUCAGGAAACUGGGGCUAAUACCGGAUAGGAGCUCCUGCUGCAUGGUGUGGGUUGGAAAGUUUCGGCGGUUGGGGAUGGACUCGCGGCUUAUCAGCUGGUUGGGGGGGUAGUGGCUUAGCAAGGUUUGACGGGUAGCCGGCCUGAGAGGGUGACCGGCCACAUUGGGACUGAGAUACGGCCCAGACUCCUACGGGAGGCAGCAGUGGGGAAUAUUGCACAAUGGGCGGACGCCUGAUGCAACAACGCCGCGUGCGGGAUGACGGCCUUCGGGUUGUAAACCGCUUUCGCCUGUGACGAAGCGUGAGUGACGGUAAUGGGUAAAGAAGCACCGGCUAACUACGUG